GUCUGAUCAACGUCAGUCUAUAACUGUACACCUGAAUGUGGCCCAGUGGGGCCUGUCUGGGACCUGUCUGAUCAACGUGGGAAACACACAACAAAUGAAAACCACGAUCCAGAUGUCGCUGACCAAAGAAGAGUACACUUGGUUUUCAGACUUCCUGAAAUUCAAGCACUUCCUCCCAGGGGGAAAGAAAGCCCGGCACUUUUUUUUUCAAUUCCACCAACACUGAGAUCAGGAAUCUACCGGUCUACCUGAAAGAGGCGUGGAAGGAGAUGGGCCUGCCUGAAAGCCCUAACUUCACCGAGCUGCGGACUUCCAUCGUCAGUCAUGUCAAAAACGUUCUCCCGAAUGCCGACAGGGAAAUGCUGGCUGACUUCAUGUGCCACGACAGCCAGAUGAAAGACAAACGUUACGCGAUGAAUCCUUCCAAAGCCGGUGAAACCAGCGCCUUCCUUGAGACGGCGUCGAAGGGAGAAGAUACCGCACCACGGGCACCGCAGAGAACCAACCCUCCACCUCCAGAAAGAGGAAGACGAGAGAGGGCGAAUCCGUCUCCGAAUGGAGCACCACUCCUGAAGAGAUCGAGGUGCAGGACGGGGAGGACCAGGAACGAAGCACCAACCCUGAAGAGAUCGAGGUGCAGGACGGGGAGGACCAGGAACGAAGCACCAACCCUGAAGAGAUCGAGGUGCAGGACGGGGAGGACCAGGAACGGAACGGACGGCCAGACAAACCUCUAGUAGAAUAACAUAUCCAGAGACGACGCGUUUAGAUUGCAAAGAUGCACUUGUACGCCAUUUAACAGUCGAGAACAAACCGAUUUAUACUCGGGCGUGUUGGUCUCCUCAAACUGAGGAACGCAUCGCCGCUCGCCUCCCACUUUGUCGCGCUGCGUAUGAUGUAUGACGCUGCAGGGUAUGAAGCAGCUGAGGUCCGUUUAAAGCUUUAAACUCAAAACAGACUCCAGGAGAAAGAAGGACGAGGAAGUGCACGAGGAAAGACGGAUGGGGGGUGGGGUUUGACCUCUGACAGUCAGAUGGAAGGAGGGGAGCUGUCUUCUGAAGAAUGUUCGACUUUCUCACAUGUAUACACACCACACGCUGACACACACACACACACACACACACACAGGUUGUUGAUUCAGACUCCUGAUGGAGACAUUAUAACAAACAAUUAUAGCUCUGACACACA
RNAcentral lists this long non-coding RNA (1188 nucleotides) under Salmo salar (Atlantic salmon). RNAcentral describes it as "lncRNA (ENSSSAG00000095577.1)". The record is from RNAcentral. Lineage: Eukaryota; Metazoa; Chordata; Actinopteri; Salmoniformes; Salmonidae.